GCCAUAGGCUACUUCAGUAAAGAGAACAUACAGGGAUAAGCAGUCAAUAACGGUUGUUUAUUCAAGUCCUUUGUUGAAACAUAAGUUAACAGAAACUGUUAGUAAGACUAAUAUUAACCAGUGACUGUGUAAAAAGGCGUGUCAAGGCAUUUCUUUCAUGUGUUUUUGUGUGGGAUUGCCAGACUAUGUAAAAUGCAACUUCCACAAGAGAGCUGCCAUUCUCAUGUUGACAAUGGAAACUCUUUAAGACUAUUUGAAGUUUUACUUCCAAAGCACAUCCAUCCACUUCGCCUCCCAGAAAAACAUUCACCUGUUAAAGACUAAGGGAUAUGGGUGUUCUAAACAAAAUGUCUUUCUGACCAUUUCUACACAGUACUGACACAUUACUGAAAUGAUGCCUAGUGACAAAGUCAUCAAUAAUACAUGAAGAAUCAGUUGGAACAGAACAGGGGGUUAUUAGUUAUUACAGCAGCCCAGGAAGGAGGUACGUUUUAUUACAGCAGCCCAGGAAGGAGGUAUGUUUUAUUACAGCAGCCCAGGAAGGAGGUAUGUUUUAUUACAGCAGCCCAGGAAGGAGGUAUGUUUUAUUACAGCAGCCCAGGAAGGAGGUAUGUUUUAUUACAGCAGCCCAGGAAGGAGGUACGUUUUAUUACAGCAGCCCAGGAAGGAGGUAUGUUUUAUUACAGCAGCCCAGGAAGGAGGUAUGUUUUAUUACAGCAGCCCAGGAAGGAGGUAUGUUUUAUUACAGCAGCCCAGGAAGGAGGUAUGUUUUAUUACAGCAGCCCAGGAAGGAGGUAUGUUUUAUUACAGCAGCCCAGGAAGGAGGUACGUUUUAUUACAGCAGCCCAGGAAGGAGGUACGUUUUAUUACAGCAGCCCAGGAAGGAGGUACGUUUUAUUACAGCAGCCCAGGAAGGAGGUACGUUUUAUUACAGCAGCCCAGGAAGGAGGUAUGUUUUAUUACAGCAGCCCAGGAAGGAGGUACGUUUUAUUACAGCAGCCCAGGAAGGAGGUAUGUUUUAUUACAGCAGCCCAGGAAGGAGGUACGUUUUAUUACAGCAGCCCAGGAAGGAGGUACGUUUUAUUACAGCAGCCCAGGAA
RNAcentral lists this long non-coding RNA (1100 nucleotides) under Salmo salar (Atlantic salmon). Its description in RNAcentral is "lncRNA (ENSSSAG00000104275.1)". The record is from RNAcentral. Lineage: Eukaryota; Metazoa; Chordata; Actinopteri; Salmoniformes; Salmonidae.